This 464-nucleotide ribosomal RNA is filed under the name uncultured Klebsiella sp. RNAcentral's name for it is "bacterial SSU rRNA". It matches the Rfam family "Bacterial small subunit ribosomal RNA", at positions 339 to 795 of the family's 1533-position model. The record is from RNAcentral. Lineage: Bacteria; Pseudomonadati; Pseudomonadota; Gammaproteobacteria; Enterobacterales; Enterobacteriaceae.
CUACGGGAGGCAGCAGUGGGGAAUAUUGCACAAUGGGCGCAAGCCUGAUGCAGCCAUGCCGCGUGUGUGAAGAAGGCCUUCGGGUUGUAAAGCACUUUCAGCGGGGAGGAAGGCGUUAAGGUUAAUAACCUUGUCGAUUGACGUUACCCGCAGAAGAAGCACCGGCUAACUCCGUGCCAGCAGCCGCGGUAAUACGGAGGGUGCAAGCGUUAAUCGGAAUUACUGGGCGUAAAGCGCACGCAGGCGGUCUGUCAAGUCGGAUGUGAAAUCCCCGGGCUCAACCUGGGAACUGCAUUCGAAACUGGCAGGCUAGAGUCUUGUAGGGGGGGGUAGAAUUCCAGGUGUAGCGGUGAAAUGCGUAGAGAUCUGGAGGAAUACCGGUGGCGAAGGCGGCCCCCUGGACAAAGACUGACGCUCAGGUGCGAAAGCGUGGGGAGCAAACAGGAUUAGAUACCCGGGUAGUC